RNAcentral lists this ribosomal RNA (467 nucleotides) under uncultured bacterium. RNAcentral describes it as "partial 16S ribosomal RNA". It matches the Rfam family "Bacterial small subunit ribosomal RNA", at positions 28 to 506 of the family's 1533-position model. The record is from RNAcentral.
GACGAACGCUGGCGGCGUGCUUAACACAUGCAAGUCGAACGGAAAGGCCCUGCUCUUGUGGGGUGCUCGAGUGGCGAACGGGUGAGUAACACGUGAGUAACCUGCCCUUGACUUUGGGAUAACUUCAGGAAACUGGGGCUAAUACCGGAUAGGAGCUCCUGCUGCAUGGUGGGGGUUGGAAAGUUUCGGCGGUUGGGGAUGGACUCGCGGCUUAUCAGCUUGUUGGUGGGGUAGUGGCUUACCAAGGCUUUGACGGGUAGCCGGCCUGAGAGGGUGACCGGCCACAUUGGGACUGAGAUACGGCCCAGACGCCUACGGGAGGCAGCAGUGGGGAAUAUUGCACAAUGGGCGGAAGCCGGAUGCAGGAACGCCGCGUGCGGGAUGACGGCCUUCGGGUUGUAAACCGCUUUCGCCUGUGACGAAGCGUGAGUGACGGUAAUGGGUAAAGAAGCACCGGCUAACUACGU